This is a long non-coding RNA of Oncorhynchus keta (chum salmon), 705 nucleotides long. RefSeq lists it as uncharacterized. The transcript is spliced from 4 exons. The record is from RefSeq and is a predicted model, not a curated record. Lineage: Eukaryota; Metazoa; Chordata; Actinopteri; Salmoniformes; Salmonidae.
UAAUAAAAGGUGGUCGACUAUAGAGAGGAGUACAUAAUAAAAGGUGGUCGACUAUAGAGAGGAGUACAUAAUAAAAGGUGGUCGACUAUAGAGAGGAGUACAUAAUAAAAGGUGGUCGACUAUAGAGAGGAGUACAUAAUAAAAGGUGGUCGACUAUAGAGAGGAGUACAUAAUAAAAGGUGGUCGACUAUAGAGAGGAGUACAUAAUAAAAGGUGGUCGACUAUAGAGAGGAGUACAUAAUAAAAGGUGGUCGACUAUAGAGAGGAGUACAUAAUAAAAGGUGGUCGACUAUAGAGAGGAGUACAUAAUAAAAGGUGGUCGACUAUAGAGAGGAGUACAUAAUAAAAGGUGGUCGACUAUAGAGAGGAGUACAUAAUAAAAGGUGGUCGACUAUAGAGAGGAGUACAUAAUAAAAGGUGGUCGACUAUAGAGAGGAGUACAUAAUAAAAGGUGGUCGACUAUAGAGAGGAGUACAUAAUAAAAGGUGGUCGACUAUAGAGAGGAGUACAUAAUAAAAGGUGGUCGACUAUAGAGAGGAGUACAUAAUAAAAGGUGGUCGACUAUAGAGAGGAGUACAUAAUAAAAGGUGGUCGACUAUAGAGAGGAGUACAUAAUAAAAGGUGGUCGACUAUAGAGAGGAGUAAAUAAUAAAAGGUGGUCGACUAUAGAGAGGAGUACAUAAUAAAAGGUGGUCGACUAUAGAG